Molecule: ribosomal RNA, 507 nt
Filed under: uncultured bacterium
Lineage: Bacteria
Description: bacterial SSU rRNA
Rfam family: Bacterial small subunit ribosomal RNA
Source: RNAcentral
UAGGGAAUAUUGGACAAUGGGCGAAAGCCUGAUCCAGCAAUGCCGCGUGAGUGAGGAAGGCCUUAGGGUUGUAAAGCUCUUUCGCACGCGACGAUGAUGACGGUAGCGUGAGAAGAAGCCCCGGCUAACUUCGUGCCAGCAGCCGCGGUAAUACGAAGGGGGCGAGCGUUGUUCGGAAUUACUGGGCGUAAAGGGCGCGUAGGCGGCCAUCUUUGUCAGGCGUGAAAGCCCUGGGCUCAACCUAGGAAUUGCGCUUGGGACGGGAUGGCUAGAGUUCGGGAGAGGAGAGUGGAAUUCCCAGUGUAGAGGUGAAAUUCGUAGAUAUUGGGAAGAACACCAGUGGCGAAGGCGGCUCUCUGGACCGAUACUGACGCUGAGGCGCGAAAGCGUGGGGAGCAAACAGGAUUAGAUACCCUGGUAGUCCACGCUGUAAACGAUGUGUGCUAGACGUUGGGAAGCCUAGCUUCUCGGCGUCGCAGCUAACGCUUUAAGCACACCGCCUGGGGA